RNAcentral lists this ribosomal RNA (241 nucleotides) under uncultured Staphylococcus sp. Its description in RNAcentral is "partial 16S ribosomal RNA". It matches the Rfam family "Bacterial small subunit ribosomal RNA", at positions 100 to 334 of the family's 1533-position model. The record is from RNAcentral. Lineage: Bacteria; Bacillati; Bacillota; Bacilli; Caryophanales; Staphylococcaceae.
GGGACGGGUGAGUAACACGUGGAUAACCUGCCUAUAAGACUGGGAUAACUUCGGGAAACCGGAGCUAAUACCGGAUAAUAUAUUGAACCGCAUGGUUCAAUAGUGAAAGACGGUUUUGCUGUCACUUAUAGAUGGAUCCGCGCCGCAUUAGCUAGUUGGUAAGGUAACGGCUUACCAAGGCAACGAUGCGUAGCCGACCUGAGAGGGUGAUCGGCCACACUGGAACUGAGACACGGUCCAG